CGAGGAAGUGUCGUAAUGCGUUUAAGGAAAGCGGGGUGAACGUGAAGCUUGAAAUGAAAUGUGCGUGGGGAGGCGCAUUUCCGAUUUCGCCUCAUACGCUGCGCGGCACUGGAGCAGAAAGCGCCCCAAUCAUUGCGAUGCCGAUGCGAUGGCUGCAGUGAGUGAAGUCGACGAGGAGCAGCUCACGCGCAGACGCACGAGAGCUGUGCACGUACAGUAUACAGUAAUACAUUUCCGGACAGUAGUGUGUGGGCAGAGAUUUACUAGCAGUGGCAAAAAGAAGCCUCUGAAACAACCCAAGAAACAGACAAAGGAAAUGGAUGAGGAGGACAUGGCAUUUAAACAGAAACAGAAGGAGGAGCAGAAACAGCUGGAGGCCAUGAAAGCCAAAGCUGCAGGGAAAGGACCGCUGGCAAGUGGUGGAAUCAAGAAGUCUGGAAAGAAGUGAAAUCUUAUUUCAAGAAGCGUCUCGUGACCCCCGUCUCAAUAUGCCUGAGAUGUGUUUAUUUUUCUGGGUCCAUUUUGGAAGACAUAUUUGAAUUACCUAGCUGUUAUUCUUUAAAAAUGAAAAUAAAGUGUUUUUUUUUUCUUUUUUGUAUAUAAAA
RNAcentral lists this long non-coding RNA (605 nucleotides) under Scleropages formosus (Asian bonytongue). Its description in RNAcentral is "lncRNA (ENSSFOG00015026077.1)". The record is from RNAcentral. Lineage: Eukaryota; Metazoa; Chordata; Actinopteri; Osteoglossiformes; Osteoglossidae.